UCUUGGAGAAAAGGGGGUUAUAGAAGUCGUAAUCGGAAGAAUCACACUUUGGUUUUACCGGGAGUUCUCUUCAAGCACUUCACGUAGAGCUUUCUAUUGACAUGGAGCUUUAGAACAAUGUGAAGUGUUUGGGGGAACUCUUGGUACCAAGGUGUUAUCGUGCUAGCAAUGGUACUCCUACACGCAUAACUAUCGUUGCAGAUCUCGCUUGGUGUUCCCAAGAGUUCCUUGCAAGCACUUCACAUAGAACUUCUGUUACUCUCAUGUAACAUUGGGAACUUGAGAAGCUACUGUGAAGUGUUUGGGGGAACUCUAGGUGGCACCUAGCAUUCAUUCUCUUGGUGAAAGGGGCAAUGGAAGUCGUAAUCAGGAGAAUCACACUUGGUUUUAUCGGGAGUUUCCUUCAAGCACUUCACGUAGAGCUUUCUAUUGAUAUGGAGCUUUGGAACAAUGUGAAGUGUUUGGGGGAACUCUUGAUACCAAGGUGUUAUCGUGCUAGCAAUGGUAUUCCCACAAGCAUCACUAUCAUUACAGAUCUCUCGGUUGGUGGCCCCAGGAGUUCCUUGCAAGCACUUCACAUAGAACUUCAGUUACUCUCAUACAACAUUGUGAUUUUGAGAAGCUAUUGUGAAGUGUUUGGGGGAACUCUCGGUGCCAACAAGCAUUUACAAGGCAUCAACAAUGAUUG
Molecule: precursor RNA, 688 nt
Filed under: Oryza sativa Japonica Group (Japanese rice)
Lineage: Eukaryota; Viridiplantae; Streptophyta; Magnoliopsida; Poales; Poaceae
Description: putative precursor microRNA R395i-k
Rfam family: mir-395 microRNA precursor family (bases 52-150)
Source: RNAcentral